RNAcentral lists this ribosomal RNA (492 nucleotides) under uncultured bacterium. Its description in RNAcentral is "partial 16S ribosomal RNA". It matches the Rfam family "Bacterial small subunit ribosomal RNA", at positions 29 to 507 of the family's 1533-position model. The record is from RNAcentral.
AGUGAACGCUGGCGGUAGGCCUAACACAUGCAAGUCGAACGGCAGCACAGUAAGAGCUUGCUCUUACGGGUGGCGAGUGGCGGACGGGUGAGGAAUACAUCGGAAUCUACUUUUUCGUGGGGGAUAACGUAGGGAAACUUACGCUAAUACCGCAUACGACCUACGGGUGAAAGCAGGGGAUCUUCGGACCUUGCGCGAUUGAAUGAGCCGAUGUCGGAUUAGCUAGUUGGCGGGGUAAAGGCCCACCAAGGCGACGAUCCGUAGCUGGUCUGAGAGGAUGAUCAGCCACACUGGAACUGAGAAACGGUCCAGACUCCUACGGGAGGCAGCAGUGGGGAAUAUUGGACAAUGGGCGCAAGCCUGAACCAGCCAUACCGCGUGGGUGAAGAAGGCCUUCGGGUUGUAAAGCUCUUUUGUUGGGAAAGAAAAGCAGCAGGUUAAUACCCCGCGGUUCUGACGGUACCCAAAGAAUAAGCACCGGCUAACUUCGUG